GGGGCUAUAGCUCAGUUGGCUAGAGCGCUGCCAUGGCAUGGCAGAGGUCACGGGGUCGAGUCCCGUUAGCUCCA
This 74-nucleotide transfer RNA is filed under the name Acidimicrobiia bacterium. RNAcentral describes it as "tRNA-Ala". It matches the Rfam family "tRNA". Rfam says of the family: Transfer RNA (tRNA) molecules are approximately 80 nucleotides in length. Their secondary structure includes four short double-helical elements and three loops (D, anti-codon, and T loops). Further hydrogen bonds mediate the characteristic L-shaped molecular structure. tRNAs have two regions of fundamental functional importance: the anti-codon, which is responsible for specific mRNA codon recognition, and the 3' end, to which the tRNAs corresponding amino acid is attached (by aminoacyl-tRNA synthetases). tRNAs cope with the degeneracy of the genetic code in two manners: having more than one tRNA (with a specific anti-codon) for a particular amino acid; and 'wobble' base-pairing, i.e. permitting non-standard base-pairing at the 3rd anti-codon position. Lineage: Bacteria; Bacillati; Actinomycetota; Acidimicrobiia. The record is from RNAcentral.